RNAcentral lists this long non-coding RNA (477 nucleotides) under Brachypodium distachyon (stiff brome). Its description in RNAcentral is "long non-coding RNA (BDIS_LNC005189)". Lineage: Eukaryota; Viridiplantae; Streptophyta; Magnoliopsida; Poales; Poaceae. The record is from RNAcentral.
AAUGCAUAUAUAUAGCUAUCCCAUAAAUUCACUUUUGAAAUUACUUUGAAAAAUAAUUUAUUUUGAUAGCCUAAAAGGCCCUAAAAGCCAUUUUUAUUAGCAAAUCUAUUUUUAAAUAUUUUAUUUUGAGGAAAUUCUUGUUCCAGAAGUUAGAUCAUAUGAAAAUAUGAUUUUACAAAUUUUGUUGCAAUUUAUUUGGAGUGAUUUGGAACUUUGAAUCCAUUUUGAGGUUCAAAAACAGAAAAGAGAAAAAAGAAAAGAAAAACCGAAGCCGAACCAGACCGGACCGGCCGAACCGGACCGGACGGACCGGCCCAGCCCGAGCCGCCCGGACGCUCCCACUGCCCGGCGGGCCCCGCCAUCGUCCCCUACCUCCACUGCCUCCGGAGUCCACGCAGAGCACAUCCGCGAAACCGCCCCGCAACCCACCUCCGUUAUCUCCGCGCACGACCCGUCUCCGCCAAAUCCAAGCGCGUC